UACGUAGGGUGCGAGCGUUGUCCGGAAUUACUGGGCGUAAAGAGCUCGUAGGUGGUUUGUCACGUCGUCUGUGAAAUUCCGGGGCUUAACCUCGGGCGUGCAGGCGAUACGGGCAAUACUUGAGUGCUGUAGGGGAGACUGGAAUUCCUGGUGUAGCGGUGAAAUGCGCAGAUAUCAGGAGGAACACCAGUUGCGAAGGCGGCUCUCUGGACUGUAACUGACACUGAGGCGCGAAAGCGUGGGGAGCAAACAGGAUUAGAUA
This 262-nucleotide ribosomal RNA is filed under the name uncultured prokaryote. RNAcentral describes it as "partial 16S ribosomal RNA". It matches the Rfam family "Bacterial small subunit ribosomal RNA", at positions 524 to 784 of the family's 1533-position model. The record is from RNAcentral.